This is a long non-coding RNA of Nycticebus coucang (slow loris), 270 nucleotides long. RefSeq lists it as uncharacterized. NCBI's taxonomy places the organism in Eukaryota, Metazoa, Chordata, Mammalia, Primates, Lorisidae. The record is from RefSeq and is a predicted model, not a curated record. The transcript is spliced from 3 exons.
AGCCACCUGCCAACAGCCACAUGAGCUUAGUAGCAGAUUCUUCCCCAGUCGAGCCUCCAAAUGAAACCACAGCCCUGGCUGACACCUUGACUGCAGCCUGAGGAGGAACCCUGAGCCAAGUCACUCAGAGUCUGCCAAAUAAUGGCUGAGCCCAUGGACUCUCGGAGAUGUCCCAGCUGGCAGAGAGGCCUUCUCAUGCUCAAAGAACCUAGUGGACACCCCCGCUCACCCUGGCCUGCAGCCCCAGCACCCUCCAAAGAGUCUGGUGGC